This 253-nucleotide ribosomal RNA is filed under the name uncultured bacterium. RNAcentral describes it as "partial 16S ribosomal RNA". It matches the Rfam family "Bacterial small subunit ribosomal RNA", at positions 524 to 776 of the family's 1533-position model. The record is from RNAcentral.
GACGUAGGAGGCGAGCGUUAUCCGGAUUUAUUGGGCGUAAAGAGCGUGUAGGCGGCCAGGUAGGUCCGUUGUGAAAACUCGAGGCUCAACCUCGAGACGUCGAUGGAAACCAUCUGGCUAGAGUCCGGAAGAGGAGAGUGGAAUUCCUGGUGUAGCGGUGAAAUGCGCAGAUAUCAGGAAGAACACCUAUGGCGAAGGCAGCUCUCUGGGACGGUACUGACGCUGAGGCGCGAAAGCGUGGGGAGCAAACAGG